GCUCACAGAAUCAUUUAUGUUGGAAAAGGUCCUUAAGAUCAUCAAGUCCAACCAUCAGCCUAAGACUACUCUCACCUCUUGUCCUGUCACUGGGCACCAGUGGGAAAGGUCUUGCUCCGUGGUCUUUCUGCCCUCUCAUCAGAUGUUUGCAAAUAUUGAUAGGAUUCCACCCAGCCCUCUCCAGGCUGAGCAGUCCAAGCUCUCUGGGACCUCGCUCUCUGGAUCACCUUGCUUGACCUGCUGGCAACUUCCUGACGCAGCACAGGAUGAUGCUGCCCUUCUUUGCUGUGGCACAUCACUGGCUUGUGUUCAGCUUGGUGUCCACCAGCACCCACAGGACUCUUUCUGCAGAGCUGUUUUUCAGACGGCUGGUCGCCAGCCUGUCCUGGUGCCUGGGGUGGUUCCUCCCCAGGGGCAGGAGCUGGUAAGUCCUUCUGACGAACUCCAUGAAAUCCUGUCAGCCCACUUCUUCAGCCUGUGAAGGUACCUCUGAAUGGCAGCACAACCCUCUCACACGCUCCUUCCAGCUUUGCACCUCCUGCAUACUAGCUGUUAGGUGCAUUCUGUCCCAUCGUCCAGGUCAUUAAUGAAGAUUUUGGAAAUGAUUGGACUCGGUGCUGACUUCCUGGGGCACGCUGCUAGGUACCGGCCUCCACCUAGUCUUUGUGCCACUGAUCACAACUUUCUGGGUCUGUUCAGCCACUUUUCAGCCCACCUCACUGUCUACUCACCCAGCCCGUGCUACUUCAGCUUGUCAGUGAGGCUGUUAGGGCAGAUAGUGUCAGAAAGUGAAGGUAAGCAAUGCCCGCUGCUGUCCCCAUAUCCACUGAGCGGGUCACCUUGUCACAGGAGGCUGUCAGGGCAGGUUGACUGAGGAUUUGCAAAAGGCCCUUCUGUAAAUCUAUGCUGACUCGUCAGCUGCCUUCUUGUCCGUGGUGAGUGGUGGUUCCAUCUCCUUCCCAAGGCCUGCAGGUCCCUGGAUCUGCCUUCCUGCCCUCACUGCAGGUAUGAGUGGCAUUUGCUUUCCUCCAGGCCUCAGGAAUCUCAUGAUGGCUGUGGCCUUUCAAGGACAGCAGCCUUGCGAGAACACCAGACACUUCCCUCGGCAUUACUGGGAGUGUCCUGUCAGCCCCCAGGCACUGCUCGUAUGUCUGUCCAGCCUUCUUCAGGGUUCUCUAGCUCGGACCUCUGCUGCGUAGCAGAUGUUGAAGGUUCUGAUGAAAGCUGCUGGUGGCCACAUAGCCUCAAAAUGGAGAUGACAUCCUGCUAUACCCUAUGUGCAAAAUUCUGCUCCUCACAUUGGAAUUCAAAGGACCACUGGAGGCAGUGCUGGCAGCCCCGAGGGAACCGGGCUGCUUGAAGUGGGGGGAGUUUGCCAGCACCGAGACUGUGUUCAUCUUAUUUACCUCUUCAUUUUGCACGAUGGGAAAGAGGCACCAGAAAAAAUCUGAUGUCUCCUUGUGAUAUUCAAGAAGCCUUUUCCUGUAUGAAAAGGAGGCAAGUUACAGGUAUUGUGAUGUCUUCAGGUUCCAGCAGAGGAGGUGGGAUCUAGUGUUGAGGAAAGUGAAACGUAGUGGAGCAAGGACGAUGGCUGCGAACUGGUGUGUCACUGAGGUCUUACCUCCCUUUUUAUCUGGUUUGUACUGGAAGCACAUUUUGUUUCUGCAUCUCCAAUACAAGUACCGGUAAACUGUAUUGAUAAGAAGAUUUGAGUUUGUACAUGCUGUAACAGGAAUCAGAGUAAAUGAUAUAUUAAAGUACCCCUUCUUGAUUAAAUCAUCAGUUUUGGACUCAAAUCUCUUAGAGCUAGAUGAAACAAAUAUGAAAAUAUUAUCAAGCACUAAAACAUGACAAAAGAUGAGAAAGUGUGGUUAUUCUGGUAUUUGAAGAAAAAACAGUAGUCAGGCUUGUGUUUAAGUUACAGUACUGAGACUGCAAUGUUGCACAGAAGUAUUAGUUACCUAGAGAAAACUGUAAGCCAGCAACAGGCUAGCUGAAAACUGAGGAAAUGCUAAUCAAUAGCGAAAAUUAAAACUGGAGAAAGAUUUCACCAUCUAUGCAGUUGAGCUGGAUGUUAUAAUGUAAAAUGCCUGCUUUAUUAAUGUUGCCUAAUGAAAAAUGAAAACCAGUGAAGGGAACAAAUAAUGAAAAAUGCACUCUGAUGUCAUGAGGUUUUCACACUGCACCGUAAUGUAGCACUGCUGAUUUUUUUUUCCCCUGGGGUUUCUGUUUCUAAUAAAACUGUUUCAAAUAAAC
This is a long non-coding RNA of Cygnus olor (mute swan), 2256 nucleotides long. RefSeq lists it as uncharacterized. Lineage: Eukaryota; Metazoa; Chordata; Aves; Anseriformes; Anatidae. The transcript has 3 exons. The record is from RefSeq and is a predicted model, not a curated record.